GCCUUCGUGGUGUAGUGGUCAAAACGCUCGGUUCGUAUUCGAGAGGCUUGUGGUUCGAGUCCCGGUGAGGGCA
Molecule: transfer RNA, 73 nt
Filed under: Stegodyphus mimosarum
Lineage: Eukaryota; Metazoa; Arthropoda; Arachnida; Araneae; Eresidae
Rfam family: tRNA
About the family: Transfer RNA (tRNA) molecules are approximately 80 nucleotides in length. Their secondary structure includes four short double-helical elements and three loops (D, anti-codon, and T loops).
Source: Rfam by way of RNAcentral